RNAcentral lists this ribosomal RNA (227 nucleotides) under uncultured bacterium. RNAcentral's name for it is "partial 16S ribosomal RNA". It matches the Rfam family "Bacterial small subunit ribosomal RNA", at positions 107 to 334 of the family's 1533-position model. The record is from RNAcentral.
UGAGUAACACGUAUCCAACCUGCCGUCUACUCUUGGACAGCCUUCUGAAAGGAAGAUUAAUACAAGAUGGCAUCAUGAGUCCGCAUGUUCACAUGAUUAAAGGUAUUCCGGUAGACGAUGGGGAUGCGUUCCAUUAGAUAGUAGGCGGGGUAACGGCCCACCUAGUCUUCGAUGGAUAGGGGUUCUGGGAGGAAGGUCCCCCACAUUGGAACUGAGACACGGUCCAA